This 437-nucleotide ribosomal RNA is filed under the name HMWdDNA-degrading marine bacterium 36. RNAcentral describes it as "bacterial SSU rRNA". It matches the Rfam family "Bacterial small subunit ribosomal RNA", at positions 20 to 461 of the family's 1533-position model. The record is from RNAcentral.
UGGCUCAGAUUGAACGCUGGCGGCAGGCCUAACACAUGCAAGUCGAACGGUAGCAGGAUGUGCUUGCACAUCGCUGACGAGUGGCGGACGGGUGAGUAAUGCUUGGGAACUUGCCUUUGCGAGGGGGAUAACAGUUGGAAACGACUGCUAAUACCGCAUAACGUCUUCGGACCAAACGGGGCUUAGGCUCCGGCGCAGAGAGAGGCCCAAGUGAGAUUAGCUAGUUGGUGGGGUAAAGGCUCACCAAGGCAACGAUCUCUAGCUGUUCUGAGAGGAAGAUCAGCCACACUGGGACUGAGACACGGCCCAGACUCCUACGGGAGGCAGCAGUGGGGAAUAUUGCACAAUGGGGGAAACCCUGAUGCAGCCAUGCCGCGUGUGUGAAGAAGGCCUUCGGGUUGUAAAGCACUUUCAGUUGUGAGGAAAAGUUAGUAGUU